UACGUAGGGUGCGAGCGUUAAUCGGAAUUACUGGGCGUAAAGGGUGCGCAGGCGGUUCUGCAAGUCAGGCGUGAAAGCCCCGGGCUUAACCUGGGAAUGGCGCUUGAAACUACAGGACUGGAGUAUGGCAGAGGGAGGUGGAAUUCCACGUGUAGCGGUGAAAUGCGUAGAGAUGUGGAGGAACACCGGUGGCGAAGGCGGCAUCCUGGACCGGUAUUGACGCUGAGGCGCGAAAGCUAGGGGAGCAAACGGG
This 253-nucleotide ribosomal RNA is filed under the name uncultured bacterium. RNAcentral describes it as "partial 16S ribosomal RNA". It matches the Rfam family "Bacterial small subunit ribosomal RNA", at positions 524 to 776 of the family's 1533-position model. The record is from RNAcentral.